RNAcentral lists this ribosomal RNA (482 nucleotides) under uncultured bacterium. Its description in RNAcentral is "partial 16S ribosomal RNA". It matches the Rfam family "Bacterial small subunit ribosomal RNA", at positions 30 to 507 of the family's 1533-position model. The record is from RNAcentral.
AUUGAACGCUGGCGGCAUGCUUUACACAUGCAAGUCGAACGGUAACAGGCCGCAAGGUGCUGACGAGUGGCGAACGGGUGAGUAAUGCAUCGGAACGUGCCCAGUCGUGGGGGAUAACUACUCGAAAGAGUAGCUAAUACCGCAUACGAUCUAUGGAUGAAAGCGGGGGACCGUAAGGCCUCGCGCGAUUGGAGCGGCCGAUGUCAGAUUAGGUAGUUGGUGGGGUAAAGGCUCACCAAGCCAACGAUCUGUAGCUGGUCUGAGAGGACGACCGGCCACACUGGGACUGAGACACGGCCCAGACUCCUACGGGAGGCAGCAGUGGGGAAUUUUGGACAAUGGGCGCAAGCCUGAUCCAGCAAUGCCACGUGCAGGAAGAAGGCCUUCGGGUUGUAAACUGCUUUUGUACGGAACGAAACGGCUCUGGUUAAUACCCGGGGCUAAUGACGGUACCGUAAGAAUAAGCACCGGCUAACUACGUG